UCAGAUAUGGUGUAACGGCUAACAUUGCCGCCUCUCAUCGGCAGAUUGUUCGAUCGCACGCGGCAGCUCGGGGUUCGAUUCCCCGUAUCCGAA
Armillaria mellea is the source of this 93-nucleotide non-coding RNA. Lineage: Eukaryota; Fungi; Basidiomycota; Agaricomycetes; Agaricales; Physalacriaceae. The record is from the annotation of a GenBank genome assembly.